GAGGGGAGCUGUCCCUAGUACGAGAGGACCGGGAUGGACGAACCAAUAGUGUUCCAGUUGUCGCGCCAGCGGCAUAGCUGGGUAGCUACGUUCGGAAAGGAUAACCGCUGAAAGCAUCUAAGCGGGAAACCUACCCCGAGAUAAGAUAUCCCUUCUGCAUGGCAACAUGCAGAACUGAAGACCCCUUGUAGACGACAAGGUUGAUAGGCCGGGUGUGUAAGUACGGCAACGUAUUUAGCUUACCGGUACUAAUUGGUCGUGCGGCUUGGCCACAA
This 275-nucleotide ribosomal RNA is filed under the name Desulfobacteraceae bacterium. RNAcentral describes it as "partial 23S ribosomal RNA". It matches the Rfam family "Bacterial large subunit ribosomal RNA", at positions 2664 to 2925 of the family's 2925-position model. Lineage: Bacteria; Pseudomonadati; Thermodesulfobacteriota; Desulfobacteria; Desulfobacterales; Desulfobacteraceae. The record is from RNAcentral.